Molecule: ribosomal RNA, 970 nt
Filed under: uncultured bacterium
Lineage: Bacteria
Description: bacterial SSU rRNA
Rfam family: Bacterial small subunit ribosomal RNA
Source: RNAcentral
CAUGCAGUCGAACGGAAACGAUACUAGCUUGCUAGUAGGCGUCGAGUGGCGGACGGGUGAGUAACGCGUAGGAAUCUGCCUGAUAGUGGGGGAUAGCCCGAAGAAAUUCGGAUUAAUACCGCAUAAUCUAUUCGUAGUAAAGUGGGGGACUUUCGAGCCUCACGCUAUCAGAUGAGCCUGCGUAAGAUUAGCUUGUUGGUAGGGUAAAAGCCUACCAAGGCGACGAUCUUUAGCUGGUCUGAGAGGAUGAUCAGCCACAUCGGGACUGAGACACGGCCCGAACUCCUACGGGAGGCAGCAGUGGGGAAUAUUGGACAAUGGGGGCAACCCUGAUCCAGCAAUACCGCGUGUGUGAAGAAGGCCUGAGGGUUGUAAAGCACUUUCAAUUGUGAAGAAAAGUUAACGGUUAAUAACCGUUAGCCUUGACGUUAACUUUAGAAGAAGCACCGGCUAACUCCGUGCCAGCAGCCGCGGUAAUACGGAGGGUGCAAGCGUUAAUCGGAAUUACUGGGCGUAAAGCGUGCGUAGGUGGUUUAUUAAGUCAGAUGUGAAAGCCCCGGGCUUAACCUGGGAACUGCAUUUGAAACUGGUAAACUAGAGUAUGGUAGAGGAAAGUGGAAUUUCUGGUGUAGCGGUGAAAUGCGUAGAUAUCAGAAGGAACAUCAAUGGCGAAGGCAGCUUUCUGGACCAAUACUGACACUGAGGUACGAAAGCGUGGGUAGCAAACAGGAUUAGAUACCCUGGUAGUCCACGCCGUAAACGAUGAUAACUAGCCGUUGGGGGGAUUUACCCUUUAGUGGCGAAGCUAACGCGUUAAGUUAUCCGCCUGGGGAGUACGGCCGCAAGGUUAAAACUCAAAGGAAUUGACGGGGACCCGCACAGCGGUGGAGCAUGUGGUUUAAUUCGAUGCAACGCGAGAACCUUACCUGGUCUUGACAUCCUGCGAACUUUCUAGAAUAGAUUGGUGCCU